UACGUAGGGUGCAAGCGUUGUCCGGAAUUAUUGGGCGUAAAGAGCUCGUAGGCGGUUUGUCACGUCGGAUGUGAAAUCCCGGGGCUUAACCUCGGGUCUGCAUUCGAUACGGGCUGACUAGAGUUCGGUAGGGGAGACUGGAAUUCCGGGUGUAGCGGUGAAAUGCGUAGAUAUCCGGAGGAACACCGGUGGCGAAGGCGGCUUCCUGGACCGACACUGACGCUGAGGCGCGAAAGCGUGGGGAGCGAACAGG
This 253-nucleotide ribosomal RNA is filed under the name uncultured bacterium. RNAcentral describes it as "partial 16S ribosomal RNA". It matches the Rfam family "Bacterial small subunit ribosomal RNA", at positions 524 to 776 of the family's 1533-position model. The record is from RNAcentral.